GAUGAAGAACGUAGCGAAAUGCGAUAAGUAAUGUGAAUUGCAGAGUUCAGUGAAUCAUCGAAUCUUUGAACGCACAUUGCGCCCGUCAGUAUUCUGACGGGCAUGCCUGUCCGAGCGUCAUUACAACCCUCAAGCUCAGCUUGGUAUUGGGCCCCGCCGCUCCGGCGGGCCCUAAAGUCAGUGGCGGUGCCGUCCGGCUCCGAGCGUAGUAAUUCUUCUCGCUCUGGAGGUCCGGUCGUGUGCUCGCCAGCAACCCCCAAUUUUUUUCAGGUUGACCUCGGAUCAGGUAGGGAUACCCGCUGAACUUAAGCAUAUCAAUAAGCGGAGGA
RNAcentral lists this unclassified non-coding RNA (329 nucleotides) under soil metagenome. Its description in RNAcentral is "partial contains 5.8S ribosomal RNA, internal transcribed spacer 2, and large subunit ribosomal RNA". The stretch from base 1 to 120 matches the Rfam family "5.8S ribosomal RNA", at positions 35 to 154 of the family's 154-position model. The record is from RNAcentral.